AAUUCUCAACCCCUCUUGAUUUUUUUCGAGGGGGAGCUUGGAUGGUGGGGGCUGCCGGAGACUAGGACUCGUCCUUGACUCGGGCUCUCCUUAAAUGCAUCGGCUUGCGGUCAACUUUCGACUUUGCGCGACAAGGCUUUCGGCGUGAUAAUGAUCGCCGUUCGCUGAAGCGCAUGGAUGAAUGUUCCGUGCCUCUAAUACCGUCGACGGUUACUAUCUCUUCGGAGAGAAAAGCGUCUUCCUUUAUCGAC
Molecule: unclassified non-coding RNA, 251 nt
Filed under: uncultured Rhizopogon
Lineage: Eukaryota; Fungi; Basidiomycota; Agaricomycetes; Boletales; Rhizopogonaceae
Description: sequence contains ITS2
Source: RNAcentral